UGCAGUCGAACGAGCUUCCGUUGAAUGACGUGCUUGCACUGAUUUCAACAAUGAAGCGAGUGGCGAACUGGUGAGUAACACGUGGGUAACUUGCCCAGAAGCAGGGGAUAACACUUGGAAACAGGUGCUAAUACCGUAUAACAACAGAAACCGCAUGGUUUCUGUUUGAAAGGUGGUUUCGGCUAUCACUUCUGGAUGGACCCGCGGCGUAUUAGUUAGUUGGUGAGGUAAAGGCCCACCAAGACAAUGAUACGUAGCCGACCUGAGAGGGUAAUCGGCCACAUUGGGACUGAGACACGGCCCAAACUCCUACGGGAGGCAGCAGUAGGGAAUCUUCCACAAUGGACGAAAGUCUGAUGGAGCAAUGCCGCGUGAGUGAAGAAGGGUUUCGGCUCGUAAAACUCUGUUGUUAAAGAAGAACACUCUUGAGAGUAACUGUUCAGGAGUUGACGGUAUUUAACCAGAAAGCCACGGCUAACUACGUGCCAGCAGCCGCGGUAAUACGUAGGUGGCAAGCGUUGUCCGGAUUUAUUGGGCGUAAAGCGAGCGCAGGCGGUUUCUUAAGUCUGAUGUGAAAGCCUUCGGCUUAACCGGAGAAGUGCAUCGGAAACUGGGAGACUUGAGUGCAGAAGAGGACAGUGGAACUCCAUGUGUAGCGGUGGAAUGCGUAGAUAUAUGGAAGAACACCAGUGGCGAAGGCGGCUGUCUAGUCUGUAACUGACGCUGAGGCUCGAAAGCAUGGGUAGCAAACAGGAUUAGAUACCCUGGUAGUCCAUGCCGUAAACGAUGAGUGCUAGGUGUUGGAGGGUUUCCGCCCUUCAGUGCCGCAGCUAACGCAUUAAGCACUCCGCCUGGGGAGUACGACCGCAAGGUUGAAACUCAAAGGAAUUGACGGGGGCCCGCACAAGCGGUGGAGCAUGUGGUUUAAUUCGAAGCUACGCGAAGAACCUUACCAGGUCUUGACAUACUAUGCAAAUCCUAGAGAUAGGACGUUCCCUUCGGGGACAUGGAUACAGGUGGUGCAUGGNNGUCGUCAGCUCGUGUCGUGAGAUGUUGGGUUAAGUCCCGCANGAGCGCANCCNUAUNAUCA
Molecule: ribosomal RNA, 1090 nt
Filed under: Lactobacillus sp. RIC11-MK006
Lineage: Bacteria; Bacillati; Bacillota; Bacilli; Lactobacillales; Lactobacillaceae
Description: bacterial SSU rRNA
Rfam family: Bacterial small subunit ribosomal RNA
Source: RNAcentral